This 428-nucleotide ribosomal RNA is filed under the name uncultured prokaryote. Its description in RNAcentral is "bacterial SSU rRNA". It matches the Rfam family "Bacterial small subunit ribosomal RNA", at positions 355 to 774 of the family's 1533-position model. The record is from RNAcentral.
UGAGGAAUUUUGCGCAAUGGGAGCAAUCCUGACGCAGCAACGCCGCGUGGGUGAUGAAGGCCUUCGGGUCGUAAAGCCCUUUCAGGUGGGAAGAAUGUCCCGGGGCUGAACAGGUUUUGGGCGUGACGGUACCACUAGAGGAAGCACCGGCUAACUCCGUCCAAGCAGCCCCGGUAAACCGGAGGGUGCAAGCGUUAUUCGGAUUUACUGGGCGUAAAGCGCGGGUAGGCGGUCCAGCAAGUCUGAUGUGAAAGCCCCGGGCUUAACCCGGGAAGUGCAUUGGGAACUGUGGGACGUGAGGACGGGAGAGGAUUGGUGAAUUCCGUGUGUAGAUGGGAAAUGCGUAGAGAUCGGGAGGAAUAUCAGUGGCGAAGGCGCCCAUCUGGACGGUAACUGACGCUGAGACGCGAAAGCGUGGGGAGCAAACG